GAAUCACGGUUGAAACAAGAUUUGCCAUGAGAAGUCAGCAGAAGCCAUAGUACCUGACGUAGAUAGACGACAGAAGGGAAGGGC
Non-coding RNA from Paenibacillus pectinilyticus, 84 nucleotides. The record is from Rfam. Lineage: Bacteria; Bacillati; Bacillota; Bacilli; Caryophanales; Paenibacillaceae.